This 255-nucleotide long non-coding RNA is filed under the name Lupinus angustifolius (narrow-leaved blue lupine). Its description in RNAcentral is "long non-coding RNA (LANG_LNC001013)". The record is from RNAcentral. Lineage: Eukaryota; Viridiplantae; Streptophyta; Magnoliopsida; Fabales; Fabaceae.
AGAUUAUAUAGGAAACUUGGUCACAGAAACUGUGGGAAGUGAAUGUUUUUAUUGUCGGGAAUAAUUCAAGACCAAUGAAUCUUGAUAGAUGAACCAUUGAAUAUUCAAUGAUGGUUAUUCCAAGGUCUUGGAAUUACUCAUUGCGUCUUCCUCCCCUUCACUAUAUAUAGGGGACUGGUAAGGAAGAUACAUAACAAGCAAGUGAGAAAAACUAUAUUGAGAAAAGUGAGAUAGUUUACAUCCACAUAGUGUGAG